CCUGGCGGCCGUAGCGCGGUGGUCCCACCUGACCCCAUGCCGAACUCAGAAGUGAAACGCCGUAGCGCCGAGGACAGUGCGUCGGCUCCCCACGCGGGAGGCGGGACCUGCCGGGG
Molecule: ribosomal RNA, 116 nt
Filed under: Escherichia coli
Lineage: Bacteria; Pseudomonadati; Pseudomonadota; Gammaproteobacteria; Enterobacterales; Enterobacteriaceae
Source: RNAcentral